AGUGAACGCUGGCGGUAGGCCUAACACAUGCAAGUCGAACGGCAGCACAGUAAGAGCUUGCUCUUACGGGUGGCGAGUGGCGGACGGGUGAGGAAUACAUCGGAAUCUACUUUUUCGUGGGGGAUAACGUAGGGAAACUUACGCUAAUACCGCAUACGACCUACGGGUGAAAGCAGGGGAUCUUCGGACCUUGCGCGAUUGAAUGAGCCGAUGUCGGAUUAGCUAGUUGGCGGGGUAAAGGCCCACCAAGGCGACGAUCCGUAGCUGGUCUGAGAGGAUGAUCAGCCACACUGGAACUGAGACACGGUCCAGACUCCUACGGGAGGCAGCAGUGGGGAAUAUUGGACAAUGGGCGCAAGCCUGAUCCAGCCAUACCGCGUGGGUGAAGAAGGCCUUCGGGUUGUAAAGCCCUUUUGUUGGGAAAGAAAAGCAGCAGGUUAAUACCCCGCUAUUCUGACGGUACCAAAAGAAUAAGCACCGGCUAACUUCGUG
RNAcentral lists this ribosomal RNA (492 nucleotides) under uncultured bacterium. RNAcentral's name for it is "partial 16S ribosomal RNA". It matches the Rfam family "Bacterial small subunit ribosomal RNA", at positions 29 to 507 of the family's 1533-position model. The record is from RNAcentral.